RNAcentral lists this long non-coding RNA (984 nucleotides) under Homo sapiens (human). RNAcentral's name for it is "HSALNT0359711". The record is from RNAcentral. Lineage: Eukaryota; Metazoa; Chordata; Mammalia; Primates; Hominidae.
CUUUGGGAGGCUGAGGCAGGCGGAUCACUUGAGGUCAGGAGUUCGAGACCAGCCUGGCCAACAUGGUAAAAUCCCGUCCCUACUAAAAAUACAAAAAUUGCUGGGCGGGGUGGCACGUGCCUGUAAUCUCAGCUACUCGGGAGGCUGAGGCAGGAGAAUCGCUUGAACCUGGGAGGCGGAGGUUGCAGCGAGCCGAGAUGGUGCUACUGCACUCCAGCCUGGGUGACAGAGCAAGAUGCUGUCUCAAAAAACAACAACAACAAAAUCUACACUAUAGCACGCUACAUACCCUAUACUACAUCUGCAAAAACUUAAAAUCCUUCUCACCUGAAUGCUUAGUAUCCCCCUAUACUCAUACAUGGUCCUCAGCCAAUCAUACCUGAGACACAGACCAGAUGUCUGUUACCCAUUCUCCUUAGGACAGAUUGUAUUUUGAACCAGACCUGAUAUUUCUCCCUUAAGAAUAAUGUAUACUUACUGUGAGCCUUUACCUCAUUCUCUCUCCCCUCACAAGAAUACCUCAAGUAUGAUCAUCCUUUUUCUGCUGAGGAAACCGUAACUUGAAGGAACUUGAUGAGGCUCACAGAGCUUGUAAGCAGUGGGAUUGAGAUCUGAACUAGGUCUGUGAGACUCCUAAUGCUUUUUCUUUGUUUGCUUUUUAUUUUUCUUUUAUUAUUAUUUUAUUUUUCUGAUCCAGUCAACUCAGAACGCUUGUUUUCUCACACUGUGCUUUCUGGGGCCUUCCCUCGAGAUUCGCUCAGGGACUCAGCUGCGGUUCUAGCCUGGCCUUGCUUGGGUCGGCUUCAGCUAGGGCAGCGCUGCUUUGGUCUGUUUCGUUUACGACUUCUUUCUUUUUUUUUUUUCCUUCUUUUUUUUUUUUUUUUUGAGAUGGAGUCUCGCUUUGUUGCCCAGGCUGGAGUGCAGUGGUAUGAUCUCGGCUCACUGCAACCUCCACCUCCAGGGUUCAAGCUAUUCUCCUGCCUC